RNAcentral lists this long non-coding RNA (216 nucleotides) under Carica papaya (papaya). RNAcentral's name for it is "long non-coding RNA (CPAP_LNC014426)". Lineage: Eukaryota; Viridiplantae; Streptophyta; Magnoliopsida; Brassicales; Caricaceae. The record is from RNAcentral.
ACCACCAGCCGAUUGGCUGAAAAAUACCGCUGAAGUCCAGCAGCGCCACCGCGAGUUUCCUCAGUUUUUGCCUCCGAUGAGGCCCUUUCCGGUUCCCGUUCGAUGUAAUUUUUAUACCACUGUGACCAGUCCUUUUCUCUACAAGUUGACUGGAGCAAAACACCAAAUUGCAACUCGUGCCGGAGGAGCCGCCGUACCCGAGAGCUUCGCCACAGG